Molecule: long non-coding RNA, 144 nt
Organism: Octopus sinensis (East Asian common octopus)
Lineage: Eukaryota; Metazoa; Mollusca; Cephalopoda; Octopoda; Octopodidae
Exons: 3
Source: RefSeq, a predicted model, not a curated record
UUUCUCGAUAGUUCUGUACAUUACUUUUAAACUCGGUUCCCUGUCAUGAUUGCUAUUCGCUAUCGCCACCUUUUGGGAUCACCAUUUGCCAAUCUUCACACAACAUCGUAUCCAUUUCGCGACAUUUUUUUAACUGGACGAAGG